Molecule: ribosomal RNA, 696 nt
Filed under: uncultured bacterium
Lineage: Bacteria
Description: bacterial SSU rRNA
Rfam family: Bacterial small subunit ribosomal RNA
Source: RNAcentral
AACGCUAGCUACGGGCUUAACACAUGCAAGUCGAGGGGAAACGACAUCGAAAGCUUGCUUUUGAUGGGCGUCGACCGGCGCACGGGUGAGUAACGCGUAUCCAACCUGCCCAUCACUUGGGAAUAACCUUGCGAAAGUAAGACUAAUACCCAAUGACAUCCCACGAAGGCAUCCGAAUGGGAUUAAAGAUUUAUCGGUGAUGGAUGGGGAUGCGUCUGAUUAGCUUGUUGGCGGGGUAACGGCCCACCAAGGCAACGAUCAGUAGGGGUUCUGAGAGGAAGGUCCCCCACAUUGGAACUGAGACACGGUCCAAACUCCUACGGGAGGCAGCAGUGAGGAAUAUUGGUCAAUGGGCGAGAGCCUGAACCAGCCAAGUAGCGUGCAGGAAGACGGCCCUAUGGGUUGUAAACUGCUUUUAUAAGGGAAUAAAGUGGGUCACGUGUGACUUUUUGCAUGUACCUUAUGAAUAAGGACCGGCUAAUUCCGUGCCAGCAGCCGCGGUAAUACGGAAGGUCCGGGCGUUAUCCGGAUUUAUUGGGUUUAAAGGGAGCGUAGGCCGGAGAUUAAGCGUGUUGUGAAAUGUAGAGGCUCAACCUCUGCACUGCAGCGCGAACUGGUCUUCUUGAGUACGCACAACGUGGGCGGAAUUCGUGGUGUAGCGGUGAAAUGCUUAGAUAUCACGAAGAACUCCGAUUG